UACGGAGGGGGCUAGCGUUGUUCGGAAUUACUGGGCGUAAGCGCACGUAGGCGGACCAGCAAGUUAGGGGUGAAAUCCCGGGGCUCAACCCCGGAACUGCCUUUAAAACUGUUGGUCUGGAGGUCGAGAGAGGUGAGUGGAAUUCCGAGUGUAGAGGUGAAAUUCGUAGAUAUCCGGAGGAACACCAGUGGCGAAAGCGGCCACCUGGACUGCACCUGACGCUGACACGCGAAAGCUAGGGGAGCGAACGGG
RNAcentral lists this ribosomal RNA (252 nucleotides) under uncultured bacterium. Its description in RNAcentral is "partial 16S ribosomal RNA". It matches the Rfam family "Bacterial small subunit ribosomal RNA", at positions 524 to 776 of the family's 1533-position model. The record is from RNAcentral.